Molecule: ribosomal RNA, 654 nt
Filed under: uncultured bacterium
Lineage: Bacteria
Description: bacterial SSU rRNA
Rfam family: Bacterial small subunit ribosomal RNA
Source: RNAcentral
GCCUUGAGAUCGGAGUGCUUGCACUCUGUGAAACAAGAUACAGGCUAGCGGCGGACGGGUGAGUAACACGUGGGUAACCUGCCCAAGAGAUCGGGAUAACACCUGGAAACAGAUGCUAAUACCGGAUAACAACAGAUGAUGCCUAUCAACUGUUUAAAAGAUGGUUCUGCUAUCACUCUUGGAUGGACCUGCGGUGCAUUAGCUAGUUGGUAGGGUAACGGCCUACCAAGGCGAUGAUGCAUAGCCGAGUUGAGAGACUGAUCGGCCACAUUGGGACUGAGACACGGCCCAAACUCCUACGGGAGGCAGCAGUAGGGAAUCUUCCACAAUGGACGCAAGUCUGAUGGAGCAACGCCGCGUGAGUGAAGAAGGGUUUCGGCUCGUAAAGCUCUGUUGUUGGUGAAGAAGGACAGGGGUAGUAACUGACCUUUGUUUGACGGUAAUCAAUUAGAAAGACACGGCUAACUACGUGCCAGCAGCCGCGGUAAUACGUAGGUGGCAAGCGUUGUCCGGAUUUAUUGGGCGUAAAGCGAGUGCAGGCGGCUCGAUAAGUCUGAUGUGAAAGCCUUCGGCUCAACCGGAGAAUUGCAUCAGAAACUGUCGAGCUUGAGUACAGAAGAGGAGAGUGGAACUCCAUGUGUAGCGGUGAAAUGC